RNAcentral lists this transfer RNA (81 nucleotides) under Puccinia coronata f. sp. avenae. RNAcentral describes it as "Puccinia coronata var. avenae f. sp. avenae partial tRNA-Glu". It matches the Rfam family "tRNA". From Rfam's summary of the family: Transfer RNA (tRNA) molecules are approximately 80 nucleotides in length. Their secondary structure includes four short double-helical elements and three loops (D, anti-codon, and T loops). Lineage: Eukaryota; Fungi; Basidiomycota; Pucciniomycetes; Pucciniales; Pucciniaceae. The record is from RNAcentral.
UCCGAGUUAGUAUAUCGGCUAGUAUAUCCGCCUUUCAUGAUCUGGGCGCGGAGGAGACGGGUUCGAUUCCCGUACUCGGAA